Long non-coding RNA from Myotis myotis, 876 nucleotides. RefSeq lists it as uncharacterized. The transcript is spliced from 3 exons. The record is from RefSeq and is a predicted model, not a curated record. Lineage: Eukaryota; Metazoa; Chordata; Mammalia; Chiroptera; Vespertilionidae.
CAGUGGCCCACUUGCCUGAGAAGCGACGCUUGGGACCAGCAGCUCAGACGUGAAAUGCUCCCCCUGGGGCCCCGUCAUCAUCAUCGUCAUCAUCAUCAUCAUCAUCAUCAUCAUCAUCAUCAGCGUCAUCCUCGUCAUCGCUGUCAUUUCUGUGCCACUUGUGCUCAGGGCCAUCAGGGACAGAAGGUCAUGUGGAGGACUCGCCUUUCCUGGGAUAUUGCUGCCUGUCCCCACCCUGGCGGGGACAGGGGAGCCGGCAGAGAGGAACAGGCGUCGGGACCUGCAGGCCUCCCGGGUCCAGCCAGACGUCACCACGGAGCCCGUGGAGGAGACAGCAUCCCUGUUCCCUCAGAGGGACCGCCACCUGACACAUGUCGUCUGGAUUCAGGCGCCUGAGCCAUCUCCGCGAGGCUGCGGGCAGCGGCCAGGCCCCCAAAGAGGACAUAUGUGGUCAGAGAAGCCGCGGGCCCCCCUCCUGGAGGCCAGCCCGCACCUGGCUGAGGAGGAGACCACCCCCUGCGCCGGGGGCUUUGUUGUGGGAAGCCAUCCGUUGUCUUCAUUAUCAGAGGAGUGUAACCAAGGAUCCGGGAGCACUGGGGAACCUUGAGCCCUGGCAAGGGCCAGAGCUAUGCACCAAUUGUUUAGUGCAGACAGUGGAGGCUCAAGCAAUUUCCUGACCAAAUAGUCUCAGAGAAAAUCUUUCUAACAUUUCCUGACCUUUAAUACAGUCUGUCUGUUACCGCAAUUACCUGCCUGACUAAGAGCUAGGUUUGUAUUCAAAAUUGAAAAAAAGGUUGGCAAGGCCUGAGCACGAGUGGAAGUCCCUCCCCUUGGAUUGGGCUUCCCGCCUGGCCCCCAAUAAUUUCCAAAUUGUCA